RNAcentral lists this long non-coding RNA (1256 nucleotides) under Gorilla gorilla gorilla (western lowland gorilla). RNAcentral describes it as "lncRNA (ENSGGOG00000044528.1)". Lineage: Eukaryota; Metazoa; Chordata; Mammalia; Primates; Hominidae. The record is from RNAcentral.
CUUUCGCCUGAAACAAACCCAGCAUCAUCAACCUCUGCUGUUAAUCAUAAUGUAAAUUUAACUAAUGUCAGACUGGAGGAGCCCACCCCAGCUCCUUCCACCUCUUACUCACCACAAGCUGAUUCUUUAAGAACACCAAGUACUGAGGCAGCUCACAUAAUGCUAAGAGAUCAAGAACCAUCAUUGUCGUCGCAUGUAGAUCCAACAAAGGUGUAUAGAAAGGAUCCAUAUCCCGAGGAAAUGAUGAGGCAGAACCAUGUUUUGAAACAGCCAGCCGUUAGUCACCCAGGGCACAGGCCAGACAAAGAGCCUAAUCUGACCUAUGAACCCCAACUUCCAUACGUAGAGAAACAAGCCAGCAGAGACCUCGAGCAGCCCACAUACAGAUACGAGUCCUCAAGCUAUACGGACCAGUUUUCUCGAAACUAUGAUCAUCGUCUGCGAUACGAAGAUCGCGUCCCCAUGUAUGAAGAACAGUGGUCAUAUUAUGAUGACAAACAGCCCUACCCAUCUCGGCCACCUUUUGAUAAUCAGCACUCUCGAGACCUUGACUCCAGACAGCAUCCCGAAGAGUCCUCAGAACGAGGGUACUUUCCACGUUUUGAAGAGCCAGCCCCUCUGUCUUACGACAGCAGACCACGUUACGAACAGGCACCUAGAGCAUCCGCCCUGCGGCACGAAGAGCAGCCAGCUCCUGGGUAUGACACACAUGGUAGACUCAGACCGGAAGCCCAGCCCCACCCUUCAGCAGGGCCCAAGCCCGCAGAGUCCAAGCAGUAUUUUGAGCAAUAUUCACGCAGUUACGAGCAAGUACCACCCCAAGGAUUUACCUCUAGAGCAGGUCAUUUUGAGCCUCUCCAUGGUGCUGCAGCUGUCCCUCCGCUGAUACCUUCAUCUCAGCAUAAGCCAGAAGCUCUGCCUUCAAACACCAAACCACUGCCUCCACCCCCAACUCAAACCGAAGAAGAGGAAGAUCCAGCAAUGAAGCCACAGUCUGUACUCACCAGAGUUAAGAUGUUUGAAAACAAAAGAUCUGCAUCCUUAGAGACCAAGAAGGAUGUAAAUGACACUGGCAGUUUUAAGCCUCCAGAAGUAGCAUCUAAACCUUCAGGUGCUCCCAUCAUUGGUCCCAAACCCACUUCUCAGAAUCAAUUCAGUGAACAUGACAAAACUCUGUACAGGUGAGUGCACUUUGUGCUCUUUGUGGCAUAGAACUAACCAGGAAUUUAACCCUCUUAGUCAAUAAGAAAACCUUU